RNAcentral lists this ribosomal RNA (492 nucleotides) under uncultured bacterium. Its description in RNAcentral is "partial 16S ribosomal RNA". It matches the Rfam family "Bacterial small subunit ribosomal RNA", at positions 29 to 507 of the family's 1533-position model. The record is from RNAcentral.
AGUGAACGCUGGCGGUAGGCCUAACACAUGCAAGUCGAACGGCAGCACAGUAAGAGCUUGCUCUUACGGGUGGCGAGUGGCGGACGGGUGAGGAAUACAUCGGAAUCUACUUUUUCGUGGGGGAUAACGUAGGGAAACUUACGCUAAUACCGCAUACGACCUACGGGUGAAAGCAGGGGAUCUUCGGACCUUGCGCGAUUGAAUGAGCCGAUGUCGGAUUAGCUAGUUGGCGGGGUAAAGGCCCACCAAGGCGACGAUCCGUAGCUGGUCUGAGAGGAUGAUCAGCCACACUGGAACUGAGACACGGUCCAGACGCCUACGGGAGGCAGCAGUGGGGAAUAUUGGACAAUGGGCGCAAGCCUGAUCCAGCCAUACCGAGUGGGUGAAGAAGGCCUUCGGGUUGUAAAGCCCUUUUGUUGGGAAAGAAAAGCAGCAGGUUAAUACCCCGCUGUUCUGACGGUACCCAAAGAAUAAGCACCGGCUAACUUCGUG